This 794-nucleotide unclassified non-coding RNA is filed under the name Hevea brasiliensis (rubber tree). Lineage: Eukaryota; Viridiplantae; Streptophyta; Magnoliopsida; Malpighiales; Euphorbiaceae. The record is from RNAcentral.
CUAGAAUUUUAUAAGAAUUUAAUUCGAUUGAUUUCUUUUGUCAAUUCUAUCGUAAAUAAGGUGGGUUUAGUUGUAUAGUGAUUAUUGAAUACAAAAUUAGUGCCCAGUUUCUAGUAGAAUUCUCAAAAAUUAAACAAAUGGUCAGCUGUAUUUAGCAAUGAUUAUGUUCCCUAUUCCUACAGAAACCAACAGAAAAAUGAUUUAAUUAAUGUGGCCAUUAUGGUCAAGAAGGAUAGAAACUUUUCAGUUCCUUGCAAGAAAACCCUAAUAGAAUAAAUCCAUCAUUGCAGGGCAUACAAAGAAAGCACAACAUAUCAUUGAUCCAGAUAAAUAAUCUCAGAAAAAACAAAAAAAGCUUUCCAAUGUCAACAGCAAAGGGAAAAAGACUGAAUGAUAUUUGAUCUGCAACAUUUUCCACAAACGCAUCCUAGAAAAAGAAGAAUCAAGAUCAUAAAUCAUCUGGAGGACAAAGAGAAUCUAGUAAACCCAAGACAGAAAAUUUGGGGAAGAAUUAUGCAAAAAAUACCAUGAACAUUGAAACAGAAUCAAGUUACAGCAAAAAAGGUACCUAUUAUCCUUAAAAUCCCUGGAACGUGCCUUCUUUCCUUUACUCCUGUAUCAUGCACAAAUAGCAGAACUUUCGAAACACUGAUGCAGCCCAAAACAAGAAACAGGACCCGUAUAUGAAGUGCGAUGGCGAGAAACGGAGAAAGAGAAACAGAGAUACAGAGUUAGAACGAAGUGGCUGCCUUGCGUCCUGCCACAGCAGUUACAUGAAGCAGUCUAGCUUUUGC